CCUACGGGUGGCAGCAGUGGGGGAUAUUGCACAAUGGGGGAAACCCUGAUGCAGCGACGCCGCGUGUGGGAAGACGGUCCUCUGGAUUGUAAACCACUGUAUCCAGGGACGACGAUGACGGUACCUGGGGAGGAAGCUCCGACUAACUACGCGCCCGCAGCCGCGGUAAAACGUAGGGCGCGAGCGUGGUCCGGAGUUACUGGGUGUACAUGGAGCGUAGGCGGGGGUGCAAGUUGGGUGUCAAAACUACCGGCUCAACUGGUAGUCGAACGCGAUACUGGAGCGCUUGAGUGAAGUAGAGGCAGGCGGAAUUCCUAGUGUAGCGGUGAAAUGCGUAGAUAUUAGGAGGAACACCAGUGGCGAAGGUGGCCUGCUGGGCUUUUACUGACGCUGAGGCUCGAAAGUGUGGGGAGCAAACAGGAUUAGAUACCCGUGUAGUC
This 440-nucleotide ribosomal RNA is filed under the name uncultured bacterium. RNAcentral describes it as "partial 16S ribosomal RNA". It matches the Rfam family "Bacterial small subunit ribosomal RNA", at positions 338 to 795 of the family's 1533-position model. The record is from RNAcentral.